Molecule: long non-coding RNA, 1103 nt
Organism: Vicia villosa (hairy vetch)
Lineage: Eukaryota; Viridiplantae; Streptophyta; Magnoliopsida; Fabales; Fabaceae
Exons: 6
Source: RefSeq, a predicted model, not a curated record
CAGUUUAGAAUGAUGUUUAUUGUUUAUUGGCGUUUUCCACAAAGAAAUUUGCAGCUCUGACUAUUAUUUGGUUCAUUGUACUUAGCUGAUAUCAUAACUCUGUUAAAACCAUUGUGUGAUUCCUUAAAACAACUAUCACAAUUUAAAUGUUCUUAACUAUGCUACAUGUUCUUUUUUAUCUUUUUCCUCUAAUGCAGAAUUUCCUGUUGGUGAGUUAAGUUACAGGUCAGGUUUUGUUACAUGAACUGGUUCGGUUAUGUUAUUAUUGCUGUGUAAUUAAUUGGCUUUUAUUGUGCAGUUUUGGUUGAAUUGUUUGAAAAGUUUAUGAAGCUGUUGCGGUUCGGUUCGGAUUUUGUGGGUAGAUGGAGUUUUCUGCUACAAAUUUGUAUUGUGUGGAGCUGCAAGUAUUUUAUUGCAGGUCCUUAUAUUCAUCAUUAAUGUUUCUUCUUUUCAGAAAAGCGAUAAUCAUGACGACACUGAAAACGUGAAGAAGAUGUGAAAUCGAACCAGCAAAUACGGGAGAGUAUUGUUUCAAUGUGAAAGAUAAAACACUUAAGAGAUGAUUAAUUCCUACAUGGAGGAUUGUUAGUCAAAAUUGGCAGUAUAAGGUACCACCAUAAAGUUAUCUACCCCCGGGGUCUGUUAUUAUGGAUAAGGCUGUAGAAACACCUUUUAAAGUUGGUUCUUCAUCUGAUCCUUCUCAUGAGGUCCAGUCCUUAGAUAUAGAGGUCAAUGAUGACACAUUUAAAGGAUUAGCUUUUGUCGUUCUAUCAGACGAGACGGAAAAUGGUUCAAGAACAGUGGAUCAGAUUUUUGUAGUGAAUUUGGUGGGAAGAAGCAGAUACAAAAGGAUUUUUGUGAUGGCAAAGGUACAGCUAAGUUUUUGCUGGAUAAAAUAGCAGAAUUUGAAUGUGAGGCACAGAAGUCUGUUAAAAGCAAUGUGUGUGACUAACUUCAUUCCCACAUCCAACUGAAACCAAAACUGAAUUACAAGCUUGCUACUGCCUCUAAAUUGAUGUUAUGUUGUAUGUAUGAACAUUAGAGCAUUUAGCAGUGAUUGUCUCUAAAUUGACAUUAUGUUCUAAAUUUAUAUUGGAGCAUUU